UAUCGCGAGGUGGAAUCUGAAGGAAGCUGUAAGCAAAUCUCUGGUCUGACGGACAGAAAUCACAUAUAAGGCUAGGCUACGAGAGAUAAGUUGGCUAAAAGCAACAAAGUCUAAUAACUAUCACAUUUGUAGCAGGUAAAGUU
Molecule: non-coding RNA, 143 nt
Filed under: Eshraghiella crossota
Lineage: Bacteria; Bacillati; Bacillota; Clostridia; Lachnospirales; Lachnospiraceae
Source: RNAcentral